RNAcentral lists this ribosomal RNA (468 nucleotides) under uncultured bacterium. RNAcentral's name for it is "partial 16S ribosomal RNA". It matches the Rfam family "Bacterial small subunit ribosomal RNA", at positions 28 to 507 of the family's 1533-position model. The record is from RNAcentral.
GACGAACGCUGGCGGCGUGCUUAACACAUGCAAGUCGAACGGAAAGGCCCUGCUUUUGUGGGGUGCUCGAGUGGCGAACGGGUGAGUAACACGUGAGUAACCUGCCCUUGACUUUGGGAUAACUUCAGGAAACUGGGGCUAAUACCGGAUAGGAGUUCCUGCGGCAUGGUGGGGGUUGGAAAGUUUCGGCGGUUGGGGAUGGACUCGCGGUUUAUCAGCUUGUUGGUGGGGUAGUGGCUUACCAAGGCUUUGACGGGUAGCCGGCCUGAGAGGGUGACCGGCCACUUUGGGACUGAGAUACGGCACAGACUCACACGGGAGGCAGAAGUGGGGAAUUGUGCACUAGGGGCGGAAGCCAUAUGCAGCAACGCCGCGUGCGGUGUGACGGCCUUCGGGUUAUAAACCGCUUUCGCCUGUGACGAAGCGUGAGUGACGGUAAUGGGUAAAGAAGCACCGGCUAACUACGUG